RNAcentral lists this small nuclear RNA (84 nucleotides) under Cebus imitator (Panamanian white-faced capuchin). RNAcentral describes it as "U4 spliceosomal RNA (ENSCCAG00000006456.1)". It matches the Rfam family "U4 spliceosomal RNA", at positions 1 to 84 of the family's 138-position model. From Rfam's summary of the family: U4 small nuclear RNA (U4 snRNA) is a component of the major U2-dependent spliceosome. Lineage: Eukaryota; Metazoa; Chordata; Mammalia; Primates; Cebidae. The record is from Rfam by way of RNAcentral.
AUCUUUGCGCAGUGGCAGUAUCAUAGCCAAUGAGGUUUAUCUGAGGCGCGAUUAUUGCUAAUUGAAAACUUUUCCCAAUACCCC